RNAcentral lists this ribosomal RNA (186 nucleotides) under Echinococcus granulosus. The stretch from base 21 to 186 matches the Rfam family "Eukaryotic small subunit ribosomal RNA", at positions 809 to 974 of the family's 1831-position model. Lineage: Eukaryota; Metazoa; Platyhelminthes; Cestoda; Cyclophyllidea; Taeniidae. The record is from RNAcentral.
GAAAAGUUUUGCAUUGAUAAAUGGAAUAGGUUGACAAGUCUAGAUGGCUCAUUCGAUUGUUUUUGAGCCCGAAGUAAUGAUCAAAAGAGACAGGCGGGGGCGUUUGUAUGGCUGCGCUAGAGGUGAAAUUCAUGGACCGUAGCCAGACAAACUAAAGCGAAGGCAUUCGUCAAGCAUGUUUUCAUU